CACCCCAUGCCGCCUUCCUCCCCUGAACCACCCUGCCAUGCCGCCGCCUUGUCCCCCUCCUUGUUCCCCACCAUCUCAAGGUUCGAUUUUUUGCUGGGCGCCGGUGGUUGAGCUGUAGGCAGAUCUGCGGGCGUCGGCCUGGAGCGGCAGUACACGAGGAGAGGAGCGUCCGGCGUCUCCCUCGACGUCGCUGAGCAAGGACCCGCCGCCGGCCCGGUGGUGCUCCUCCAUGGAUUCCACCAGAUUGACCGCAGACGCGCCACCAGAUUCCACCAGACGCGCCGCCGCCGCCGCCUCUCAACCGCCGGAGACGGCGCUUCCCGCGGCGGACGGCCCCGGAGACGAGGAGGGGGAGGAGGAGAAAUGCCGCAUCUGUUGCCUCCCGGCCGAGGCAGACCGCCCCCUGCGCCUGCCGUGGUAGCAUCAGGUUCGUCCACGACGACUGCCAGCUCCGGUGGCUCGCCACCCGCCAGCGACCCCGCUGCGAGGGUGCCAUCACCAAAAGGAUGUCAACAAUUGAGGAAAUAGCAGGAAUGGAUGUUCAUCCUGGUUAUAGUUACAGCAGCAGGGGACAAGCACUUGCUCUGGAGUACGCAAUUAAAUUUUUUGCAUUGCAGGGGAUUAUUGCUUUGGUUCAUGACUUCUCAGCCAGUGCAUCAAGUACCUCGGUCUGAAGGAAAGGGAGGACUAUGAGGUCGUAAUUGAGGACAAUAAGUUCUUGUACAAGAAGAACCGGCAAAUAAUUGACACGUCCUUCGGUCCGAGGGAUGCAAAGUGGAUCUUUGUUCUUAGCACAACUAAGACCUUGUAUGUUGGUCAGAAGAAGAGAGGUAAAUUUCAGCAUUCUAGCUUUCUUGCAUUGCUAUCAGAAUUCAGAAACCUGCUUGGGUGUGAACUCAGCAAAACAAAAGUCUCCACCUCCUCUCUAUUUCCUCCUAGAUUUUGAUUGGCAAGUCAAAGCAUGCAUGCCAGCCAAGGAAGAAACAAAGAUAGAUCACUCUGUGUUACUGAAGUUUCAUGGCUGAUCUUAGAAGAGUUGACUUAAGAUGUCAGUGUUAGUUCUGUAGAGAUCAUGGUAAUUAAUUCGUGCACCAUUUUUCUUAUCAAAUUGAUUUUGCAGUAAACACUAUAAAAUGGCCCUCAUUGGUUUAUCACAGCUAUGGUGUUCAAACUCUUCAGUUUGCUGUCUUUGAUCUUACAGCCGGGUCCUUCAGUAUGUCAGAUUAGGAUCUUAACUGGAGCGCCAAUGAUUACAACAACAGUAUCACAGUGAUCAGCGGAUCACUUGGGCUCCAUUCCAUCGGCAAGGCCAAGUGCAAGUGGGGAUGACCCCUGUGGCCACGAACCUGGCCGUGGAGAUGCAGGGAUGCCUGCCCAUGCUACAGCAAGGAGGAGGGGAAGAUGGAGCCGCGGCGCCUGAGCCUGGCAGCAGCGGAAGAUGGAGGCCCGGCGCCUGAGCCUGGCAGCGGCGGAAGAUGGAGCCGCGGCGCCUGAGCCUAGCAGUGGCGGAAGAUGGAGGCCCGGUGCCUGAGCCUGGCAGCGGCGGAAGAUGGAGCCGCGGUGCCUGGGCCUGGCAGCGGCGGAAGAUGGAGCUGUGGCACCUGAACCUGGCAGCGGCGGAGACGGAGCUCGAUGUGCUGGAGUCGCCGGCUUCGUCUUGGUGCCGGCGAUGGAGCUGGAGGUACUCGGAGGUGGGGAGCUCGAGGUGCUGGGUGCGGGAGCUCGAGGAGCUGACGCCGGCGACGGGGUCCUAGUGCUGGGGAUGGAGCUCGAGGUUCUGGCCAGCGGGAGAUCGAGGUUCUGGCCGGCGGAUGGAGGUUCCCCGCGGUGGAUCGCGACGAGUGGACGGAGAACUGGGUACUGGAUUGUAAUGACUUCAAAUUUCAGAAGGGUCUUAUUGUAAAAUUAAUUUGUUCACGAUUCCUUCCCCCUGGAGUCAUCUAUUACCGAACGGAGGGAGUACAUGUGUUGAGGUUUGUGAUUCCCGUAGCAUGCACGUAUGGUGAACCGUUUUGUGAUGAAGUUGGAGUACAAUUU
This is a long non-coding RNA of Triticum dicoccoides, 2037 nucleotides long. RefSeq lists it as uncharacterized. Lineage: Eukaryota; Viridiplantae; Streptophyta; Magnoliopsida; Poales; Poaceae. The record is from RefSeq and is a predicted model, not a curated record. The transcript has 4 exons.